RNAcentral lists this ribosomal RNA (443 nucleotides) under uncultured bacterium. RNAcentral describes it as "partial 16S ribosomal RNA". It matches the Rfam family "Bacterial small subunit ribosomal RNA", at positions 338 to 795 of the family's 1533-position model. The record is from RNAcentral.
CCUACGGGAGGCAGCAGUGGGGAAUAUUGGACAAUGGGGGGAACUCUGAUCCAGCGACGCCGCGUGAGUGAAGAAGUAUUUCGGUAUGUAAAGCUCUAUCAGCAGGGAAGAAAGAAAUGACGGUACCUGACUAAGAAGCCCCUGCUAACUACGUGCCAGCAGCCGCGGUAAUACGUAGGGGGCAAGCGUUAUCCGGAUUUACUGGGUGUAAAGGGAGCGUAGACGGCGAUGCAAGUCUGAAGUGAAAGGCGGGGGCCCAACCCCCGGACUGCUUUGGAAACUGGAUGGCUGGAGUGCAGGAGAGGUAAGUGGAAUUCCUAGUGUAGCGGUGAAAUGCGUAGAUAUUAGGAGGAACACCAGUGGCGAAGGCGGCUUACUGGACUGUAACUGACGUUGAGGCUCGAAAGCGUGGGGAGCAAACAGGAUUAGAUACCCGUGUAGUC